Molecule: long non-coding RNA, 1179 nt
Organism: Humulus lupulus (European hop)
Lineage: Eukaryota; Viridiplantae; Streptophyta; Magnoliopsida; Rosales; Cannabaceae
Exons: 7
Source: RefSeq, a predicted model, not a curated record
GCUGCAUCAUAGGUCGAUUGCUAAUUAACUGACUUACCAUGUUAAAAUUAUAUAUUUAGUUUUAACAACAUAAGUCGGUUCUAGAAAUGACAUAUGAUGCUAGAUCAUAUGUUGGUUGAUAUUAGAUCAUAUGUUGGUUGAUAUUGGACUGAUAUCAUGUUAAAAUUAGGAUGGAAAAAAAAGCACAUAUAAAAUUAAGUAUGCCGCCCAUACUCUUAUUCUUCACUGUAUAGCCCCGCGAAAUUUUUUUUUCUUGUCUUCUUCGUUCCGCCAGUAACCCAAACUGCAGCAACUCCCCCUCCUCAACUCUGGUCGGAAACAGCUCCUUCCCAUUCUGCCAGUAAUACGGAUUCUCCUCAACUCCGGAGAGUGCAAAGAUUGAAGCUGCAAGGAACGAUUCCAAAAGAAAUUACAACUUCAAAAUUCUUGACAUAUUUGAAGAUCAACUUGAAUCACUUUUCAGAGACUUUGCCAGCAUUCUUGGGAAACUUUUAUGUAAUAGAACAAAUAAGAGGAAGAAGAAAUUGAGAUGCUUUUGGAAAACUACCUCCAAAGUGUCUUUCAACAUUUACGCACAAAUAAUGCACAAAUUAAGGAAGUCGCGUGGAGAACAGUUAAGUGUCCUCGUCAACCAUUACAAUCAUUACAAUGUGGGUUCUAUGUUAUGAGGAUGAUGAAGGACUUUGUGACAAAUGAGUUUUCAAUGCGAUGGCUAACUAGUAAUUGUGGCGGGAAGAACUAUUACACAAAGGAUGAGAUCAAUGAAGUACGUGAAGAAUGGGCACAAUGCGUCAUGGAUUUGAUGAGUACUACAUAGGUAAGGUAAAAGGAAUGCUAGAAAAGCGAUGAGUUGGAGCCCUUCGGUGGCAGUGUGUAUAUAUGCGGCUGCUUGACCACCACGACCUAGGAUUUCUCAGAGGAACUAGGGUCGUAUCCCUUAUUUUGUCGCAUAGGCCGGCAGGUUGUAACGUUUGACUUGUAUAUAACCUUUUCAACAUUUGUUUGUAUCAUUUUGGGAUCCCAUGUACUUAGUAAAUGUUUAAAUGAAAAGUCAACGUUUCCUUUGACCAACAAAUUGAACCCUAACCCUUGACAUUAACCUUAGUUGCACGUUUAUAACCAAAUGACUUGAUUAGCAAGUCUGGUACUAUUUAAAGUACACAGUGUAAUGAUACUGGA